UUCCAUCAGCAGUUUUUCCCACAAUCCUCUUCUCUCACUCCAACUGCCUGAUCACAUUCCAACUGGAUUUACAGUUUUCCUUUCCACACUUCUCUAGCUCAUUUGACAGGUUAAAUUAUCAACAGAUGGUUUGGAGAAAUGUUUGCUCAUUACCUGAAAAAUUCUACUGCAGGAUAAAUGGAGGAUUUCAUCCACAUUUUGUUUGUAUUCACUAGCCUAUACAAUGCCAGUGACAGAAACAAAUGUCAGCUACAAACCCAUUUAAGUAUUUUGAUGAUCAUUGAUAUCCACCAGAGAGAAUUUUUAUCCAAAUCAACUUAUAAUUUCUCUGUGCCCAAAUAGAUGAUUUAAAAUAUUUGUAUUUGAGUAAAUAUAUGAUCAGCUGGCAACCAACUUUCUCAUGAGGAGCAACUCUGAAUGUAAGUGUGGAAUUAGGAAGUAAAAACAUAUGCUUGCCUAUCUCCAGUUUCAUAACCAAAUCUUUUCUAGUCUAUCAGAUCUUAUUGUCUUCUUGCUAAGUCUUUGAGAAUUAAUAGACAUGUGCAUAUCAUGAUGAGGUGAUGAAGCAUGAAAUUUCCUCAGAGAAUCAACCAGAGAAAGGAUAAGGUUUUUUUUUCACUUUUAAAUGCCAAAGCAUCACAGAAACAUGUUAUGUCUUGGUUUUCUUGAAAAGACAGAGAUAGAAAUACCUGUGAUACAAUGGGGAAGCUUUAUUAUA
Molecule: long non-coding RNA, 718 nt
Organism: Monodelphis domestica (gray short-tailed opossum)
Lineage: Eukaryota; Metazoa; Chordata; Mammalia; Didelphimorphia; Didelphidae
Source: RefSeq, a predicted model, not a curated record